CCUACGGUGGACAGCAGUGAGGAAUAUUGGUCAAUGGGCGUAAGUCUGAACCAGCCAAGUCGCGUGAGGGAUGAAGGUUCUAUGGAUCGUACACCUCUUUUAUAAGGGAAUAAAGUGCGGGACGUGUCCCGUUUUGUAUGUACCUUAUGAAUAAGGCUCGGCUAACUCCGUGCCAGCAGCCGCGGUAAUACGGAGGAUCCGAGCGUUAUCCGGAUUUAUUGGGUUUAAAGGGUGCGUAGGCGGCCUUUUAAGUCGGCGGUGAAAGUCUGUGGCUCAACCAUAGAAUUGCCGUUGAAACUGGGAGGCUUGAGUAUGUUUGAGGCAGGCGGAAUGCGUGGGGUAGCGGUGAAAUGCUUAGAUAUCACGCAGAACCCCGAUUGCGAAGGCAGCCUGCCAAGCCAUGACUGACGCUGAUGCACGAAAGCGUGGGGAUCAAACAGGAUUAGAUACCCUAGUAGUC
Molecule: ribosomal RNA, 460 nt
Filed under: uncultured bacterium
Lineage: Bacteria
Description: partial 16S ribosomal RNA
Rfam family: Bacterial small subunit ribosomal RNA
Source: RNAcentral